RNAcentral lists this unclassified non-coding RNA (201 nucleotides) under Hevea brasiliensis (rubber tree). The record is from RNAcentral. Lineage: Eukaryota; Viridiplantae; Streptophyta; Magnoliopsida; Malpighiales; Euphorbiaceae.
AUUACUUUACCCACCCCAAUCACAAUACAAUUACUCUUUCUCAUUCCGAACAAUAUCAUGGAUUUUCACCUGAAACACACUCAAAAGAGUGGCAAGGUCUAACUAAUAGGUUUAGAUUGUCAAUCCUUCAUCCUCACCUCCAAUAGCAACAACCAAGGGGAAAGUAUCAUAAAUAACACCAAAUACAACCAACAAAAACAA